GCCGGCAUAGCUCAGCUGGUAGAGCGGCUGCCUUGUAAGCAGCAGGUCGGGAGUUCAAGCCUCUCUGCCGGCA
RNAcentral lists this transfer RNA (73 nucleotides) under Candidatus Amphirhobacter heronislandensis. Its description in RNAcentral is "Betaproteobacteria bacterium AqS2 tRNA". It matches the Rfam family "tRNA". Rfam says of the family: Transfer RNA (tRNA) molecules are approximately 80 nucleotides in length. The record is from Rfam by way of RNAcentral. Lineage: Bacteria; Pseudomonadati; Pseudomonadota; Gammaproteobacteria; Candidatus Tethybacterales; Candidatus Tethybacteraceae.